AAGAAACAAGAACAAAGAAAGUGAAUAUGUCCAAGGGAGCGGUUGUUCUUUUGGAUUGUUGGGCUAACCCAUUUUGCUUGAGAGCAAAGAUUGCAUUGGCUGAGAAAGGAGUUGAAUAUGAAGCCAGAGCUGAGAACUUGUUUGGGGGCAAGAGUGACCUGCUGCUCAAAUCAAACCCCAUCAACAAGAAAGUCCCAGUUUUUCUACAGGAUGGGAAACCAUUGUGUGAAUCCACUAUUAUAGUUAACUAAAUUGACGAGACUUGGCCUUCGCCACCACUUCUCCCAUCCCGUGCUUAUGGGACAGCUAAGACAAGGUUCUGGGCAGAUUUUAUUGACAAGAAGGUCAGUCUAUGAUUCUCAAGUCUAAAUUAUGAUUCUCAAGUCUAAAUGUUUGUAUUUUUCUAAAUGCGAACUUAAAAGAUGACACCACUUUUUUGGCAGGUAUUCGAUGCAGUAUGCAACAUACGGAAAAGCAAGGGCGAGGUCCCAGAGACGGCGAAGAAUGAAUUUAUAGAGAUUUUGAAGCAACUUGAGGGAGCUUUAGGGGAGAAGGAUUUCUUUGGCGGGGAUAGCUUUGGAUUCGUUCAUGUGAUUGCCAUUCCACUGACUUGUUGGUUUUACGCGGUUGAGAAAUUUGGGGGAGUUAAGGUUGAGAAUGAGUGCCCCAAAUUCUCAGCAUGGAUGAACAAGUGCAUGCAAAGAGAUACUGUUGCCAGGAUCCUUCCAGACCCAGAAAAGGUCUACGAAUUUGUUAUCAUGUUGAGGAACAUGUUUGGAAUUGAAUAGUGAAAGGCUGAUGCUGCUGAAAAGCUUUCAUUCUCAUAUGAAGAUAACUUUCAGUUGCUUCUUUGCUUUACUGCUGUCGAUGUAAUAAUAGAAACCAGCAACGUUCGGUUGCUUUGUUUAAAUGCUUUCUGAAAUAUAUGCGUGUGUGUUUGCGUGUAUUGUGUUUAAAUGAUAAAUGAAAAGCAGAAAAAAAAUUAUAUGAAAUUGUUCUUAAAUUUAGGUUAAUGAAAUUACGGCAUGUAAGCAAUGUAUAAAAGAACAGAGGUCGAAAACAACACUUGCUGUUACAUUUAAAGAAAUUGAAGCCAUAAUUCAUAUUUUGCGUUCUAUCAAAACUUCUCUAGUGCAACAAAACAAGAUCCAGUACAUGUUCCAUCACCAUAUUCAAUAACAGUAAGUGAUUCAUUACCCUUUUCAUGCAUAUUCAAUGUAAUUUUUAUUAUAAUAUUUGUUGUUGUCUUAUUUGGGUUUGUUUAUAUAUAAACAAUUCUAUGCCUAUGUAAUUUUUAUUAUAAUAUUCAUUGUUUGUCAUAUUUGGAUUUUUUAUUAUAAACGAUUCCAUGGCUAUGCAAUUUUUAUUAUUAUAAUAUUUGUUGUUUGUCUUACUUGCGUUUGUUUACAUAUAAUUUCCGGUGACUUGUUAGUUUUUAAAGUUCGUUGCAUAAUGAAAAAGACGAAAAUGUUAUCUUUCACGUGGUAUUGCACGUGUACAUUUUUAUAUGUACAAGUAAAUUUCAUCUUACAUUAUAUAAAUUUAGUCAUUUAUUUUUUUACAGUAGUUUAACAAUAAGAUUUACCAAACACCCUUCACUGUUUUCAAAAUUCACAGUACUUUUGAAAAUAAAAUUUAUCAAACACUUAACUGAUUCUUUUCAUAGCUGAUUAUUUGUACAGCACAACUAACAUAUUUUAUUUUAAAAGCUGCAGCAUUAUCAAACUGGCCCUUAUAAAUGCCAACCUUGAUACUCAAGGUUUAAUUACUAUCAACCAACUAAAAGAAACAAGAACAAAGAAAGUGAAUAUGUCCAAGGGAGCGGUUGUUCUUUUGGAUUGUUGGGCUAACCCAUUUUGCUUGAGAGCAAAGAUUGCAUUGGCUGAGAAAGGAGUUGAAUAUGAAGCCAGAGCUGAGAACUUGUUUGGGGGCAAGAGUGACCUGCUGCUCAAAUCAAACCCCAUCAACAAGAAAGUCCCAGUUUUUCUACAGGAUGGGAAACCAUUGUGUGAAUCCACUAUUAUAGUUAACUAAAUUGACGAGACUUGGCCUUCG
This 2055-nucleotide long non-coding RNA is filed under the name Citrus sinensis (sweet orange). RNAcentral describes it as "long non-coding RNA (CSIN_LNC002946)". Lineage: Eukaryota; Viridiplantae; Streptophyta; Magnoliopsida; Sapindales; Rutaceae. The record is from RNAcentral.